Molecule: ribosomal RNA, 497 nt
Filed under: uncultured bacterium
Lineage: Bacteria
Description: partial 16S ribosomal RNA
Rfam family: Bacterial small subunit ribosomal RNA
Source: RNAcentral
GAUGAACGCUGGCGGCGUGCCUAAUACAUGCAAGUCGAGCGAACGGACGAGAAGCUUGCUUCUCUGAUGUUAGCGGCGGACGGGUGAGUAACACGUGGAUAACCUACAUAUAAGACUGGGAUAACUUCGGGAAACCGGAGCUAAUACCGGGUAAUAUUUUGAACCGCAUGGUUCAAAAGUGAAAGACGGUCUUGCUGUCACUUAUAGAUGGAUCCGCGCUGCAUUAGCUAGUUGGUAAGGUAACGGCUUACCAAGGCAACGAUGCAUAGCCGACCUGAGAGGGUCAUCGGCCACACUGGAACUGAGACACGGUCCAGACUCCGACGGGAGGCAGCAGUAGGGAAUCUUCCGCGAUGGGCGAGUGCCUGACGGAGCAACGCCGCGUGAGUGAUGAUGGUCUUCGGAUCGUAAAACUCUGUUAUUAGGGAGGAACAUAUGUGUUAGUAACUGUGCACAUCUUGACGGUACCUAAUCAGAAAGCCACGGCUAACUACGUG